AUUGAACGCUGGCGGCAGGCCUAACACAUGCAAGUCGAGCGGAUGAAGGGAGCUUGCUCCUGGAUUCAGCGGCGGACGGGUGAGUAAUGCCUAGGAAUCUGCCUGGUAGUGGCGGAUAACGUCCGGAAACGGGCGCUAAUACCGCAUACGUCCUGAGGGAGAAAGUGGGGGAUCUUCGGACCUCACGCUAUCAGAUGAGCCUAGGUCGGAUUAGCUAGUUGGUGGGGUAAAGGCCUACCAAGGCGACGAUCCGUAACUGGUCUGAGAGGAUGAUCAGUCACACUGGAACUGAGACACGGUCCAGACUCCUACGGGAGGCAGCAGUGGGGAAUAUUGGACAAUGGGCGAAAGCCUGAUCCAGCCAUGCCGCGUGUGUGAAGAAGGUCUUCGGAUUGUAAAGCACUUUAAGUUGGGAGGAAGGGCAGUAAGUUAAUACCUUGCUGUUUUGACGUUACCAACAGAAUAAGCACCGGCUAACCUCGUG
RNAcentral lists this ribosomal RNA (484 nucleotides) under uncultured bacterium. RNAcentral describes it as "partial 16S ribosomal RNA". It matches the Rfam family "Bacterial small subunit ribosomal RNA", at positions 30 to 507 of the family's 1533-position model. The record is from RNAcentral.